UCUAUCUGACAGCAGUUCCCUUCCAGUUCUUCUUCUUCCCUUCGUCUUCCUCUUCAUUUCACCAGUUCACUUCUUCAGUUCUUCUUCUUCAGCCCAGUCGACGACGGCGGCUUCGACCACUCCAGUAGAGUCCAGAUUCGUCUCAGCCUAGACGAUGACUUUGAUAACUUCAGUUUGUUUAUUCGUUCUUCAGUUCAUUCAUUCAGCGCAUCAGCUCACCGUGGAUGCCACAACACAACUCUUGUCUCUUCGGAUUGGUCUCUUCGUUCGUUCAACUUAAAUAUUCAAGAGGAGAGACUAAAGCAUGGGACAUUGCUGGAGAUAGUUUUGAUUCUUUUGAAGAUGUUGGUAUGUUGGAAGUAGCCAAUUUAUCCUUAGAUGAACCAGAGUUAGAGGCUGAUAUUUUGGAAGAUCAUGGUGGUGGUGAAAGUGAUGAUGAUGUUAUGAUGAUUUAAGAUUUGAGUGUUCCAAGUUUUUCUAUUUUCUAGUCUUUAUGUUACUAAUUUGGUUUGUACUAAGAACUUUGUGGUAGGACAGAGUGAUAAUAUUUCAAGUUUCUCUAGUUUGUCUUUGUAUUAAGAACUUUUAUGUUAUUAAUUUGAUAUCUUAUGUUUUGGACUACAUUUUAGUAUCUUUCUUUAUGGUUAAAUUUAUAUAUA
Long non-coding RNA from Benincasa hispida (wax gourd), 659 nucleotides. RefSeq lists it as uncharacterized. NCBI's taxonomy places the organism in Eukaryota, Viridiplantae, Streptophyta, Magnoliopsida, Cucurbitales, Cucurbitaceae. The record is from RefSeq and is a predicted model, not a curated record.